GCAAGUAGAACGCUGAAGGAGGAGAUUGUGCUUCUGGAUGAGUUGCGAACGGGUGAGUAACGCGUAGGUAACCUGCCUGGUAGCGGGGGAUAACUAUUGGAAACGAUAGCUAAUACCGCAUGACAACAGUUAUUGCAUGAUAACAGUUUAAAAGGGGCAACUGCUCCGCUACCAGAUGGACCUGCGUUGUAUUAGCUAGUUGGUGAGGUAACGGCUCACCAAGGCGACGAUACAUAGCCGACCUGAGAGGGUGAUC
RNAcentral lists this ribosomal RNA (256 nucleotides) under uncultured bacterium. RNAcentral's name for it is "partial 16S ribosomal RNA". It matches the Rfam family "Bacterial small subunit ribosomal RNA", at positions 57 to 305 of the family's 1533-position model. The record is from RNAcentral.